CCCCCCUGCCAUGGGCAGGGGCACCUUCCCCUCUCCCAGGGUGCUCAGAGCCCAGCCUGACCUUGGAUGUUUGCAGGGAUGGGGCAGCCACAGCUUCUCUGGGCACCCUGUGCCAGUGCUUUUCCAUCCCAUAAUAGAAACCUCCUUCCUUUACCUGCUCUAAUUCCGCCCUCUUUCCUGCUAUGCCUCUCCUGGCUGUGGCUGAGGAUGCCCAUUGCUGCAGAAGUGCACCCACGGCUGGGACAAUGAGCAGGACCCCCAAAGCAAACGGGUGCCAGAGAAGCAGGGAUUUCAUUACUCCCCUCCCACAGAGGCCAACGACUCAGCACAGUUCCCUGCCAGUGACCUGUGAUUGUCCCAGGGUUGCUGAUUAUUCAAAAUUAUUCAGUGAUGACCUUGUGAAUGUUCUUGGGCUUUCUGUUCCUUUAAGGAGUCUGGAAGCAGGGACGGAGCUGAGGGUUGGGAAUUGUGGCCUCCAGGAGAGCUUUAGAAUUUCCUUCCCUCUCUUUACUUCUGGAAGGGGGUGCCACUCGUGCAGUCAUCAUGAAUUCCUGAGCUUGGCUGGAUUGCUCCUGCACAUCCCUGGGUACAGGAUGCCGUAAUUCUUCCCACAGCUGUUGAAAAAGCAGGAAAUAUCUUUUAAAGCACCUGAGCUGGCCAAAGCAGAGGCAGAGAGGAGUGAGCUUCUUCCCUCAAUAGCAGAUCCUUCCCAGCACUUUCUCUUUCGAAAGGGACCCAUCAUUUACCCCAGGUUAUUUCAUAAAUUCUGCAAUUUCCAGUUCAGAAAUUUGUUAGUGGAUUUUUCAGCCUCCCCUGCAGCACAGCAUUGGGAGGUUGAUUUGUGCUGUGUCUGUUCACAGUUUCUGGGAAUCCCCUCCUUGCCUCUUUAUCAAUAACCAACCUGCUCUUCCAGGCAGCUCCUCAAUUUGUCUUUGCUGCCCUAGAUGGGUUUCAAAC
Molecule: long non-coding RNA, 957 nt
Organism: Prinia subflava (tawny-flanked prinia)
Lineage: Eukaryota; Metazoa; Chordata; Aves; Passeriformes; Cisticolidae
Exons: 4
Source: RefSeq, a predicted model, not a curated record